AGUAACGCGUGAGGAACCUGCCUCAAAGAGGGGGACAACAGUUGGAAACGACUGCUAAUACCGCAUAAGCCCACGGUGCCGCAUGGCACAGAGGGAAAAGGAGUAAUCCGCUUUGAGAUGGCCUCGCGUCCGAUUAGCUAGUUGGUGAGGUAACGGCCCACCAAGGCGACGAUCGGUAGCCGGACUGAGAGGUUGAACGGCCACAUUGGGACUGAGACACGGCCCAGACUCCUACGGGAGGCAGCAGUGGGGAAUAUUGCACAAUGGGGGAAACCCUGAUGCAGCGACGCCGCGUGGAGGGAGAAGGUCUUCGGAUUGUAAACUCCUGUUGUUGGGGAAGAUAAUGACGGUACCCAACAAGGAAGUGACGGCUAACUACGUGCCAGCAGCCGCGGUAAAACGUAGGUCACAAGCGUUGUCCGGAAUUACUGGGUGUAAAGGGAGCGCAGGCGGGAAGACAAGUUGGAAGUGAAAUCUAUGGGCUCAACCCAUAAACUGCUUUCAAAACUGUUUUUCUUGAGUAG
Molecule: ribosomal RNA, 524 nt
Filed under: uncultured bacterium
Lineage: Bacteria
Description: bacterial SSU rRNA
Rfam family: Bacterial small subunit ribosomal RNA
Source: RNAcentral